This 490-nucleotide ribosomal RNA is filed under the name uncultured bacterium. RNAcentral's name for it is "partial 16S ribosomal RNA". It matches the Rfam family "Bacterial small subunit ribosomal RNA", at positions 28 to 507 of the family's 1533-position model. The record is from RNAcentral.
GAUGAACGCUAGCUACAGGCUUAACACAUGCAAGUCGAGGGGCAGCAUGGUCUUAGCUUGCUAAGGCCGAUGGCGACCGGCGCACGGGUGAGUAACACGUAUCCAACCUGCCGUCUACUCUUGGACAGCCUUCUGAAAGGAAGAUUAAUACAAGAUGGCAUCAUGAGUUCACAUGUUCACAUGAUUAAAGGUAUUCCGGUAGACGAUGGGGAUGCGUUCCAUUAGAUAGUAGGCGGGGUAACGGCCCACCUAGUCUUCGAUGGAUAGGGGUUCUGAGAGGAAGGUCCACCACAUUGGAACUGAGACACGGUCCAAACUCCUACGGGAGGCAGCAGUGAGGAAUAUUGGUCAAUGGGCGAGAGCCUGAACCAGCCAAGUAGCGUGAAGGAUGACUGCCCUAUGGGUUGUAAACUUCUUUUAUAAAGGAAUAAAGUCGGGUAUGUAUACCCGUUUGCAUGUACUUUAUGAAUAAGGAUCGGCUAACUCCGUG